UUGACGGCACCCUACUAGAAAGGAGCCGCUAACUUCGUGCCAGAAGCGUCGGUAAUACGGGGGCUCCAAGCGUUAUCCGGUGUUAUUGGGCGUAAAGAGUCGUGUAGGUGGUUGGGUAAGUUAUCUUUCAAAUAUCUUUGCUUAACAAAGAGGAGGGGGAUAAUACUGCUCGACUAGAAUUUUCUCAAGGGAGAUCGGAACUGAGGGAGGAGUAGUGAAAUGCGUUGAUACCCUCGGGAACACCAGUGGCGUAGGCGGAUCUCUGGGAGACGAUUGACACUGAGACACGAGAGCUAGGGGAGCGAAGCAGAUUAGAGACCUGCGUAGUCCUAGCCGUAAACGCAUGCUUGCUAGCUGCAUGAAUCUACCUUCGGGUGGUAUCGUGUGGCGAAGGUAACCCGUUAAGCAAGCCGCCUGGAAAGUACGGCCGCAAGGCUGAAAUUCAAAGGAAUUGGCGGGGAGGCACACAACCAGUGGAACAUGUGGUUUAAUUCGAGACUAACCGAAGAACCUCACCAGGGUUUGACAUGUAGCUGCACGUCUUAAGAAAUUAAGACUCUCUUGAAGGUGCUACACAGGUGCUGCAUGGCUGUCGUCAGCUCGUUCCGUGAGGAGUGCCCUUAAGUGGGACAACGAGCGCAACCCCUAUUGCGUGUUAGAAAUGUCAUGUAAGACUGCCUUGCCAUUUGGCGGGGAGGAAGGAGGGGCAGACGUCAAGUCCGCAUGGUCCUUAUGCCCUGGGCUACACACAUGUUACAAUGAGUACGGCAAUGAGUCUGUCGCGAGCACGUAAGUGUAAGCUAAUCUCUUAAAUGUACUCUCAGUGGGGAUUGAGGUCUGCAACUCGACCUCAUGAACACGGAAUUGGUAGUAAUCGCGGGUCAGCUAUACCGCGGUGAAUACGUUCUGCCUCUGCACACACCGCCCGUCAAACCAGCAAAGUCGAU
Molecule: ribosomal RNA, 947 nt
Filed under: uncultured organism
Description: bacterial SSU rRNA
Rfam family: Bacterial small subunit ribosomal RNA
Source: RNAcentral